AUCAAUGCUAAACUGGGUGAUUUAGAGCGUUUAUAGUGAUAU
RNAcentral lists this non-coding RNA (42 nucleotides) under Trypanosoma brucei brucei. Lineage: Eukaryota; Euglenozoa; Kinetoplastea; Trypanosomatida; Trypanosomatidae. The record is from RNAcentral.